GGAAUAUUGCACAAUGGGCGAAAGCCUGAUGCAGCGACGCCGCGUGAGGGACGAAGGUCUUCGGAUUGUAAACCUCUUUCAGCAGGGACGAAGCGAAAGUGACUGUACCUGCAGAAGAAGCACCGGCUAACUACGUGCAAGCAGCCGCGGUAAUACGUAGGGUGCAAGCGUUGUCCGGAUUUAUUGGGCGUAAAGAGCUCGUAGGCGGUUCGUCACGUCGGAUGUGAAAACCUGGGGCUUAACCCCGGGCCUGCAUACGAUACGGGCGGACUAGAGUUCGGUAGGGGAGACUGGAAUUCCUGGUGUAGCGGUGAAAUGCGCAGAUAUCAGGAGGGACACCGGUGGCGAAGGCGGGUCUCUGGGCCGAUACUGACGCUGAGGAGCGAAAGC
Molecule: ribosomal RNA, 390 nt
Filed under: uncultured bacterium
Lineage: Bacteria
Description: bacterial SSU rRNA
Rfam family: Bacterial small subunit ribosomal RNA
Source: RNAcentral